GACGAACGCUGGCGGCGUGCCUAAUACAUGCAAGUCGAACGAACCGCGACUAAGUGCUUGCACUAAGUCAAGGUGAGUGGCGAACGGGUGAGUAACACGUGGGUAACCUACCUCAUAGUGGGGGAUAACAGUCGGAAACGACUGCUAAUACCGCAUAGGACAUAGGAUCACAUGAUCCAGUGAGGAAAGGUGGCGCAAGCUAUCGCUAAGAGAUGGACCCGCGGUGCAUUAGCUAGUUGGUAGGGUAAAGGCCUACCAAGGCGAUGAUGCAUAGCCGACCUGAGAGGGUGAUCGGCCACAUUGGGACUGCGACACGGCCCAAACUCCUACGGGAGGCAGCAGUAGGGAAUCUUCCGCAAUGGACGCAAGUCUGACGGAGCAACGCCGCGUGAGUGAAGAAGGUCUUCGGAUCGUAAAGCUCUGUUGUUAGAGAAGAACAGCGCAUAGAGUAACUGCUAUGCGUGUGACGGUAUCUAACCAGAAAGCCACGGCUAACUACGUG
This 502-nucleotide ribosomal RNA is filed under the name uncultured bacterium. RNAcentral's name for it is "partial 16S ribosomal RNA". It matches the Rfam family "Bacterial small subunit ribosomal RNA", at positions 28 to 507 of the family's 1533-position model. The record is from RNAcentral.